UACAGAGGUCUCAAGCGUUGUUCGGAUUCAUUGGGCGUAAAGGGCGCGUAGGCGGUCCGACAAGUCGGGGGUGAAAUCCUGCAGCUUAACUGCAGAAGUGCCUUCGAUACUGUCGGUCUUGAGGGAGAUAGGGGUGUGCGGAACUUCCAGUGGAGCGGUGAAAUGCGUUGAUAUUGGAAGGAACGCCGGAGGCGAAAGCGGCGCACUGGAUCUCUUCUGACGCUGAGGCGCGAAAGCUAGGGGAGCAAACGGG
RNAcentral lists this ribosomal RNA (253 nucleotides) under uncultured bacterium. Its description in RNAcentral is "partial 16S ribosomal RNA". It matches the Rfam family "Bacterial small subunit ribosomal RNA", at positions 524 to 776 of the family's 1533-position model. The record is from RNAcentral.